Molecule: ribosomal RNA, 485 nt
Filed under: uncultured bacterium
Lineage: Bacteria
Description: bacterial SSU rRNA
Rfam family: Bacterial small subunit ribosomal RNA
Source: RNAcentral
CUACGUGCCAGCAGCCGCGGUAAUACGUAGGUCCCGAGCGUUAUCCGGAUUUAUUGGGCGUAAAGCGAGCGCAGGCGGUUAGAUAAGUCUGAAGUUAAAGGCUGUGGCUUAACCAUAGUACGCUUUGGAAACUGUUUAACUUGAGUGCAGAAGGGGAGAGUGGAAUUCCAUGUGUAGCGGUGAAAUGCGUAGAUAUAUGGAGGAACACCGGUGGCGAAAGCGGCUCUCUGGUCUGUAACUGACGCUGAGGCUCGAAAGCGUGGGGAGCAAACAGGAUUAGAUACCCUGGUAGUCCACGCCGUAAACGAUGAGUGCUAGGUGUUGGGUCCUUUCCGGGACUCAGUGCCGCAGCUAACGCAUUAAGCAUCCCACCUGGGGAGUACGCCGGCAACGGUGAAACUCAAAGGAAUUGACGGGGGCCCGCACAAGCGGAGGAACAUGUGGUUUAAUUCGAUGAUACGCGAGGAACCUUACCCGGGCUUGAA